UUUCCGUAGGUGAACCUGCGGAAGGAUCAUUCAUAAUAAAGUGUUUUAUGGCGCUUUUUAAAAAUCCAUAUCCACCUUGUGUGCAAUGUUAGAUCUCGUCAAUCUUGGCGAGAUUUUUAUACAUCAACUCAUUCUUUAACUAAUUUGUCUGUGAAAUAUUAUGAAUACUUAAUUCAAAAUACAACUUUCAACAACGGAUCUCUUGGCUCUC
Molecule: unclassified non-coding RNA, 211 nt
Filed under: plant metagenome
Description: partial contains small subunit ribosomal RNA, internal transcribed spacer 1, and 5.8S ribosomal RNA
Source: RNAcentral